Molecule: small RNA, 554 nt
Filed under: Pan troglodytes (chimpanzee)
Lineage: Eukaryota; Metazoa; Chordata; Mammalia; Primates; Hominidae
Description: processed transcript
Source: RNAcentral
ACAGAUAUGCUUGUGUAAGGGUUUAUUGUUACUGAAGGAAGGCAGUGGCAGUUUAUACUUAAAUAUGAGGAACUGAGACAGUCACAGAGGGGUUAGGAGACUUGCCCACGGUCAUGCAGCUCGUAAGUGUUGGUGCCAGGAUUCAAGUAUGGCUGAGUGCUUGUCUUCAACCCUCCUAGAUCACCCCCUGUGUUGAAGUUCUAUUACCGUUCAUUACGUGCACAGUUCUCAAAAUAAUCCUAUGUGUGUGACACCCAGCCCCUGCCAGUCCCCCAUGGCCCCGUGGAGCCGAGAGGCGGUGCUGAGUCUCUAUCGGGCUCUGUUGCGCCAGGGCCGACAGCUUCGCUACACUGAUCGAGACUUCUACUUUGCCUCCAUCCGCCGUGAAUUCCGAAAAAAUCAGAAGCUAGAGGACCCUGAGGCCCGGGAGAGGCAGCUGGAGAAGGGCCUGGUCUUUCUCAACGGCAAAUUGGGGAGGAUCAUUUAGGAUCCUCCAAGGGAAAGAGGACAAAGGUGCCUUCUGUAGACACUCCUGCUCUCUUCCAUCCCUGUCU